This 274-nucleotide ribosomal RNA is filed under the name uncultured bacterium. Its description in RNAcentral is "partial 16S ribosomal RNA". It matches the Rfam family "Bacterial small subunit ribosomal RNA", at positions 523 to 796 of the family's 1533-position model. The record is from RNAcentral.
AUACGAAGGGUGCAAGCAUUAAUAGGAUUUAUUGGGUGUAAAGGGCGCGUAGGCGGAUGAGUAAGUCAGGUGAGAAAUUCCAAAGCUCAACUUUGGAGCUGCACUUGAAACUGCUCACCUUGAGGAUAGGCGGAGAAAAUGGAAUUCCACGUGUAGCGGUGAAAUGCGUAGAUAUGUGGAGGAACACCUGUGGCGAAAGCGGUUUUCUAGCUUAUUCCUGACGCUGAGGCGCGAGAGCAAGGGGAGCAAACAGGAUUAGAAACCCCGGUAGUCC